UUAGCGAUCCUCCCGCUUCAGCCUCCCGAGUGCUGGGAUUACAGUGGACUCUGCAUUUCAGAGACGCAGUGGACCAGAGCAGCACAUGGAGGAAGCCCGGGACUGCGGUGGUUUAACUGAAGACCCGGCUAAGACACUCUCAGGUCCCGAAUCGUACCGCCUUGCAGCGCGGCAUUUCAGCCCUGCCCCUGGGAACCUGCGUCCUAGCGAGGUCUCUGUCCCCUCCGGCACCCACAACCUGAUGGAGAGGGGUUCAUUCCCGGCGGUUUCCAUCCGCAGCCAGCGGGCCAGGGCAGAAGCAGCGUGGGGAGAGCAGGCUGGCAGAGGAAGGCGGCCGGCGUCAUGGUGACCGGGAAGCCCAGGGGACAGGAGAGGUGCCCGGAGGCAGAGGCGCCCUUGCCGGCCGGCCCCUUCCCGCCCUUUCACCCGGGCCCUGCCGCAGGAGCACGUCUAGGUGUUCCCGGGGAUCCACCCACGGACCAGUCCUUCCGGAAGCUCCACCUCGGCACGCACAGGCUUGCGGGGACACUGUGGAUCUAACGCUCACCCCAGGCUCUCCGGGGCCUCCUGAGAGCGCACUGCGGACACCCUGGAGAACCUCUGUCCCGGCGCGGCGCAGUCGGGCAGCGCUUCCAACGUCUGAAAACAUUAAUUCUCCUAAGUGUCGCACCUGGACGCGCGCCUGGCCGUGCACCCCGCGGCGAUGGGAAGUGAGCACACAGUAGGGCGGCGACUCGGAACCGGGUCGCACCUCUCCUGCGCUCCCGCUCGCGGCACGGGGUCCGGUAGGUGCUCAGAAUUCAGGGCCACAGCGGACGUUGAGGGGUCCCUGGGAUUCUUCACGCAGCCCGGAGCGACAGCGCGAUGGCCUGUGCCGAGUGCCUAGGCCCUCCCGAGUCCAGCGGGCCUUCGGUCCGGUGCCGCCCGCCUGCAGCCGCUUCCGCACAUUCUGAGCGGCUUACCUCAUCGCUGCUUCACACAGCUAAGAAAACCGGGAAGGUGGCUAUCGUAUUUUUUAAGCAAUUAAAUGCUAAUUACUUGACAUUAA
Molecule: long non-coding RNA, 1048 nt
Organism: Chinchilla lanigera (long-tailed chinchilla)
Lineage: Eukaryota; Metazoa; Chordata; Mammalia; Rodentia; Chinchillidae
Exons: 2
Source: RefSeq, a predicted model, not a curated record